Molecule: Y RNA, 96 nt
Filed under: Propithecus coquereli (Coquerel's sifaka)
Lineage: Eukaryota; Metazoa; Chordata; Mammalia; Primates; Indriidae
Description: Y RNA (ENSPCOG00000000610.1)
Rfam family: Y RNA
About the family: Y RNAs are components of the Ro ribonucleoprotein particle (Ro RNP), in association with Ro60 and La proteins. The Y RNAs and Ro60 and La proteins are well conserved, but the function of the Ro RNP is not known.
Source: Rfam by way of RNAcentral
GGCUGGUCCAAUGGUAGUGGGUUAUCAGAACUUAUUAACAUCAGUGUCACUAAAGUUGGUAUACAACCCCCCACUGCUAAAUUUGACUGACUUNNN